Molecule: ribosomal RNA, 491 nt
Filed under: uncultured bacterium
Lineage: Bacteria
Description: bacterial SSU rRNA
Rfam family: Bacterial small subunit ribosomal RNA
Source: RNAcentral
GAUGAACGCUAGCGGCAGGCCUAACACAUGCAAGUCGAGGGGUAGAACACUUCGGUGUUUGAGACCGGCGCACGGGUGCGUAACGCGUAUGCAAUCUACCUUGUACAGGGGAAUAGCCCAGAGAAAUUUGGAUUAAUGCCCCAUAGUAUAUAACCUUCGCAUGUUGGUUAUAUUAAAGUUCCAACGGUACAAGAUGAGCAUGCGUCCCAUUAGUUAGUUGGUAAGGUAACGGCUUACCAAGACGAUGAUGGGUAGGGGUCCUGAGAGGGAGAUCCCCCACACUGGUACUGAGACACGGACCAGACUCCUACGGGAGGCAGCAGUGAGGAAUAUUGGUCAAUGGUCGCAAGACUGAACCAGCCAUGCCGCGUGCAGGAAGACGGUCCUAUGGAUUGUAAACUGCUUUUUAUACAGGGAAGAAACCCUCCCACGUGUGGGAGCUUGACGGUACUGUAGGAAUAAGGAUCGGCUAAACUCCGUGCCAGCAGCCG